CGAGGGUGCGAGCGUUGUCCGGAAUCACUGGGCGUAAAGGGCGCGUAGGCGGCCUGGUAAGUAGGGGGUGAAAUCCUGCGGCUUAACCGCAGGGCUGCCUUCUAAACUGUCAGGCUCGAGCACGGUAGAGGCAGAUGGAAUUCCCGGUGUAGCGGUGGAAUGCGUAGAGAUCGGGAAGAACAUCAGUGGCGAAGGCGGUCUGCUGGGCCGUUGCUGACGCUGAGGCGCGACAGCGUGGGGAGCAAACCGGAUUAGAUACCCUGGUAGUCCACGCCGUAAACGAUGGGCACUAGGCGUCGGGGGGAGCGACCCUCCCGGUGCCGUCGCUAACGCAGUAAGUGCCCCGCCUGGGGAGUACGGCCGCAAGGCUG
RNAcentral lists this ribosomal RNA (371 nucleotides) under uncultured organism. Its description in RNAcentral is "bacterial SSU rRNA". It matches the Rfam family "Bacterial small subunit ribosomal RNA", at positions 527 to 896 of the family's 1533-position model. The record is from RNAcentral.